AUACGACACUCAAUGAUUAACAGCUCAUGAAAGAUGUCGUCUUUUUUUUCCUCAAACAGAAGGUGAAAUCAAGUGAGCAUGGUUUGAAUUUUGAAUUUUUGUUGAUUUUGUUAUUUGCCAAUGUGAAAAAAACAAUCAAACAUAGCGAUUACUUUGGCAGCCAUUGGCAAGAGCUCUUCAAGAGCUUUGCUUUUUGAUGUUUUUGUCUUUGGUUUGAUCAUAUGAUGUUUGUUGUCCUUCGCGUGGACUGUUUUCAGCAUUUUCAUCACGACAUUCGUCAAAGGAGAAGAAUCUGUGCUUGGUGGUUGCGCCUUAUCGGCAGCACCUGUGUACCAGCACUGAUUUUGAUUGGGAGGAACAUCGGUGAUAUUUGACUGUCGUCGCUGGACAGCUUGUGUUUUUUGCACCUGUAAUGGGCAGCAUUUUUCGUACAGUUUUGUUCAGUGGAGAUGCCGUCGCUGCUGGAGUAGUCUGCGUUGGUGCGGCUGGAUGGAUGGCUUGCGGAGGCGAGGAUUAGGAGAGAGUGAUGUCAGCGCGGAGCGAGGAUGCGUAUUUGGAAAUGAGAGUCGCCGCUUGGAAUUGAAGUGGACAUGAGAACUUCGCUGUGCUUUAAAACGGUGGAACGCAGAGCAUCCGCUGAGCAUCUACUGCUCGGACGCUGAGCAUCUCGAGGGUUCAGGCUUUUAGCUCCAGUGUUUCCUCAUGGGGGGCCUUUACGCUGGGAGUUGUGGCUGGCCUUCUCACAGGGACGUCCUGGAGCUCCUUAGGCCUAAGAGAACCGGGGGCUCUGCACUAUGUAUUGGUCAAUC
Molecule: long non-coding RNA, 809 nt
Organism: Hippocampus zosterae (dwarf seahorse)
Lineage: Eukaryota; Metazoa; Chordata; Actinopteri; Syngnathiformes; Syngnathidae
Exons: 3
Source: RefSeq, a predicted model, not a curated record